CAGCACCGAGCCCAAAGCCUCCCACGUCCUCACGGGGCAAGCAGACCGCCCGCCCCCGGGCAUUGGAAGAAGCGCGGCCUUCACCUCCUGGGCUGGCCGGGGAGCAGGCAGCGCGCCCUGCAGCCAGCAGGAGCCCCAAGCACUGCCCGCCUGCAGCAGGCUCGGAUCGGUACCGGGACAACCCACGUGCGCUGCCUUCUGCUUCGCCCUUGCAAUCAGCCCGGCCCAGCUGCAGGUGUGUGCGGUGAGGACACGCGGGCAGGCUCGGCGCCUUGUGCUGCCGCGCGCCUGGCGGUGAGGGCUGAGCCCCGGCCCCGCUGCGGGGCCGUAGGACGCUGCUAUUCGGUCCCAGCCUGCUGCUUUCCCCAGGACGCGGGUUUUGCCGCUCCCCAAGCGAGGCCGUGCGGAGGGCAGCCCCGGAUCAUCAUUAGGCCAGCACGCUCUGCACUGAUGGAAUCUCCUCUUGCUGAUGUUGGCUGUGCUGGAAAGGCGCUUCCUGGCACUCUGCAAAGCUGACCCCGGGCUGUGCUCUGACAUCAAUGACCGGAUUGGCACGUUCCUUCUGCACAGGCUGUGUCGAAAUCCAGGCACUACUGAAAGCCUCCGGAGACCUGAAUGAAGAUCUGAAGACCUGAAUCUGAAGCCAGCCAAGAGGCAAAGGGGCUCAGGAGAAAUCCAGGCGGCCUCAAUGUGUUCUUUAGUGGCUAUUCCCAUCUCAUAUGUUCUUUAGCCAAAAAUCUACAUCCAAAAAUGUAAUAUCCUCCUCCACUGUUUCCCCUCUUUCUGUCCAGUCCUCCAGCCCUUACAUGAACUUUGAGUAAUUCCCAUCAAAGUCAGCUGGUUUGCUGAGUGAUGUUCAAAUCCCCGUUGGCUCCGUGUAGCGCAGCUUUAAGUCCUGGUAAUAAAAGAGAUUGGGGAAUCUGCA
This 925-nucleotide long non-coding RNA is filed under the name Numida meleagris (helmeted guineafowl). Its description in RNAcentral is "lncRNA (ENSNMEG00000005875.1)". Lineage: Eukaryota; Metazoa; Chordata; Aves; Galliformes; Numididae. The record is from RNAcentral.